AGUUUGAUCCUGGCUCAGGAUGAACGCUGGCGGCGUGCCUAACACAUGCAAGUCGAGCGAUUCUCUUCGGAGAAGAGCGGCGGACGGGUGAGUAACGCGUGGGUAACUGCCCUGUACACACGGAUAACAUACCGAAAGGUAUGCUAAUACGGGAUAACAUAUUUUGAUGGCAUCAUCGAAAUAUCAAAGCUCCGGCGGUACAGGAUGGACCCGCGUCUGAUUAGCUAGUUGGUGAGGUAAUGGCUCACCAAGGCGACGAUCAGUAGCCGACCUGAGAGGGUGAUCGGCCACAUUGGAACUGAGACACGGUCCAAACUCCUACGGGAGGCAGCAGUGGGGAAUAUUGCACAAUGGGCGAAAGCCUGAUGCAGCAACGCCGCGUGAGCGAUGAAGGCCUUCGGGUCGUAAAGCUCUGUCCUCAAGGAAGAUAAUGACGGUACUUGAGGAGGAAGCCCCGGCUAACUACGUGCCAGCAGCCGCGGUAAUACGUAGGGGGCUAGCGUUAUCCGGAAUUACUGGGCGUAAAGGGUGCGUAGGUGGUUUUUUAAGUCAGAAGUGAAAGGCUACGGCUCAACCGUAGUAAGCUUUUGAAACUGAGAAACUUGAGUGCAGGAGAGGAGAGUAGAAUUCCUAGUGUAGCGGUGAAAUGCGUAGAUAUUAGGAGGAAUACCAGUUGCGAAGGCGGCUCUCUGGACUGUAACUGACACUGAGGCACGAAAGCGUGGGGAGCAAACAGGAUUAGAUACCCUGGUAGUCCACGCCGUAAACGAUGAGUACUAGGUGUCGGGGGUUACCCCCCUCGGUGCCGCAGCUAACGCAUUAAGUACUCCGCCUGGGAAGUACGCUCGCAAGAGUGAAACUCAAAUGAAUUGACGG
Molecule: ribosomal RNA, 876 nt
Filed under: uncultured bacterium
Lineage: Bacteria
Description: bacterial SSU rRNA
Rfam family: Bacterial small subunit ribosomal RNA
Source: RNAcentral